GGGAAAGUAUUCCUAUACUAUACAUUUCUGAAAUGACUUUAGUGAGCAACUGUGGUUUAUUCUUAAUGCACUUUUAGAUCUUACCUCUGUUUACAUUUUUAUUUUUGAAGUUAUAGAUUUUCUGUAAAUGUGUGCAUGUUGUAUUGCUUUCUUUUCAAAUUCUGGAAAUCUAUCUUAGGUGUCUUUAUUAAUUUGUGUAUGUAAAUACCCGGAUUUUGCAUUUAAAAGGACAUUUUUGCUACACUUUAUAUUGAUACAAUUAUGUUUAUUAUACAAAACAUUUUUAGUAUAACAUGCAAUAAACUCUACAUUUCAUAGAGCCAAUU
Etheostoma cragini (Arkansas darter) is the source of this 326-nucleotide long non-coding RNA. RefSeq lists it as uncharacterized. The transcript is spliced from 3 exons. NCBI's taxonomy places the organism in Eukaryota, Metazoa, Chordata, Actinopteri, Perciformes, Percidae. The record is from RefSeq and is a predicted model, not a curated record.